UCCAAAACUCUUCGUGCUCCCAAUUACACCAAAUUCUAUUAGUAAGGUCAGCUAAUUAAGCUAUCGGGCCCAUACCCCGAAAAUGUUGGUUUAUACCCUUCCCGUACUA
This 109-nucleotide transfer RNA is filed under the name Bos taurus (domestic cattle). Its description in RNAcentral is "tRNA-Met". The stretch from base 41 to 109 matches the Rfam family "tRNA". From Rfam's summary of the family: Transfer RNA (tRNA) molecules are approximately 80 nucleotides in length. Their secondary structure includes four short double-helical elements and three loops (D, anti-codon, and T loops). Lineage: Eukaryota; Metazoa; Chordata; Mammalia; Artiodactyla; Bovidae. The record is from RNAcentral.